AACGCACAUUGCGCCCCUUGGUAUUCCGAGGGGCAUGCCUGUUCGAGCGUCAUAACAACCCCUCAGGCCGCUCAGGCUUGGUCUUGGGGCUCGCCCGCCUUGGCGCGGCGGCCCUCAAACACCGUGGCGGUGCUGGUGGUGCUCUCCGCGUAGUCACGUUCUCGCGACAGGGCGGCACUGGACCCAGCCAAAACCCGACGCCGGCAAGGUGUCAACCCCCCUCUCUAGGUUGACCUCGAAUCAGGUAGGGAUACCCGCUGAACUUAA
RNAcentral lists this unclassified non-coding RNA (267 nucleotides) under Physalospora sp. RNAcentral's name for it is "partial contains 5.8S ribosomal RNA, internal transcribed spacer 2, and large subunit ribosomal RNA". The stretch from base 1 to 52 matches the Rfam family "5.8S ribosomal RNA", at positions 103 to 154 of the family's 154-position model. The record is from RNAcentral. Lineage: Eukaryota; Fungi; Ascomycota; Sordariomycetes; Amphisphaeriales; Hyponectriaceae.